Molecule: ribosomal RNA, 273 nt
Filed under: Escherichia coli
Lineage: Bacteria; Pseudomonadati; Pseudomonadota; Gammaproteobacteria; Enterobacterales; Enterobacteriaceae
Description: partial 23S ribosomal RNA
Rfam family: Bacterial large subunit ribosomal RNA
Source: RNAcentral
GGUUAAGCGACUAAGCGUACACGGUGGAUGCCCUGGCAGUCAGAGGCGAUGAAGGACGUGCUAAUCUGCGAUAAGCGUCGGUAAGGUGAUAUGAACCGUUAUAACCGGCGAUUUCCGAAUGGGGAAACCCAGUGUGUUUCGACACACUAUCAUUAACUGAAUCCAUAGGUUAAUGAGGCGAACCGGGGGAACUGAAACAUCUAAGUACCCCGAGGAAAAGAAAUCAACCGAGAUUCCCCCAGUAGCGGCGAGCGAACGGGGAGGAGCCCAGAG